RNAcentral lists this ribosomal RNA (301 nucleotides) under uncultured bacterium. RNAcentral's name for it is "partial 16S ribosomal RNA". It matches the Rfam family "Bacterial small subunit ribosomal RNA", at positions 509 to 807 of the family's 1533-position model. The record is from RNAcentral.
CAGUCGCCGCGGGAAUACGAAGGGUGCAAGCGUUACUCGGAAUUACUGGGUGUAAAGCGUGCGUAGGUGGUGGUUUAAGUCCGUUGUGAAAGCCCUGGGCUCAACCUGGGAAUUGCAGUGGAUACUGGGUCACUAGAGUGUGGUAGAGGAUAGUGGAAUUUCCGGUGUAGCAGUGAAAUGCGUAGAGAUCGGAAGGAACAUCUGUGGCGAAGGCGACUAUCUGGGCCAACACUGACACUGAGGCACGAAAGCGUGGGGAGCAAACAGGAUUAGAUACCCGAGUAGUCCCUGUCUCUUAUAC